Molecule: long non-coding RNA, 786 nt
Organism: Notolabrus celidotus (New Zealand spotty)
Lineage: Eukaryota; Metazoa; Chordata; Actinopteri; Labriformes; Labridae
Exons: 3
Source: RefSeq, a predicted model, not a curated record
AUUGUGUUCAGGGACUGACGAUGAUGUAGUCCAGCUGAUCAGGCUGAGGAGGGAGAAGGACCACCUCUUCAGCGGGAGGCGGUUUACUGCUGCUGCAGGAUAGGAUUUGAAGAAAUGUGCUGAAAGGAAUGAAGCUGGCUGACCAAGUCAGUCUUGCUAGAGCGGCAAAGAAAUGGGAGAAUUUAAAGAAAACGCAUAAGUCAUGAUCAUCCAGAGCUGGCAGAUUUUCAACUGGGGCUGAAAGGGCAGCAGCCAUGCGUACGCAGCCGCUCCCCACACUGUGAGUCUGGCUGAAGCUGGCCAUCACCAUCAUCCGGCCUCAGUGCCUCUUCAACUGGCUCCAUUGCGUCUCCAUCCCUGAGGCAGAAAUUGUGGAGGAUGGCACAACAAGCCACCACCUCCACAGAGAACACAGUUCUCACUUCUAGGGCCUUGAAAAAGAUGGAGUGCCAUCUAGCCUUCAUGAUACCAAAGGCCCGCUUGAUAACUGAACGAGCCUUUGAAUGGUGCCGGUUAAAUCUGGCUUCACUGCACCUCUCACAGGCUCCCUGUAUGGGGUUAUAAGGGUGAUUGGAGGGGGAGUAGUCUGACAUUAUGACAUUAAAUACUAUAAUUCCACAUUAUCUAAUAUAUAAUAUAAACGCAAAGGACUAAUAUAAUCUUUUAACUUAGUUUGGCUACGUCUAGCUAGUAUAGCAAUGACGGCACGUCUCAGUCCUCUCUGUCUUUCUCUUGCUAGUCUGAUUCUUCUUUGAAGAAAAAUGAUUUGAAUAAGAGUCAAAAGAA